UCUGAAGAAGCCUCACAGCUGUUGCCAGGCCA
RNAcentral lists this non-coding RNA (32 nucleotides) under Homo sapiens (human). The record is from RNAcentral. Lineage: Eukaryota; Metazoa; Chordata; Mammalia; Primates; Hominidae.